UUCGGACCUCCAAUCAAGC
RNAcentral lists this ribosomal RNA (19 nucleotides) under Nannochloropsis sp. IOAC843S. RNAcentral describes it as "partial 28S ribosomal RNA". Lineage: Eukaryota; Eustigmatophyceae; Eustigmatales; Monodopsidaceae. The record is from RNAcentral.